GGUUCUGUGGUGUAGUUGGUUAUCACGUCAGUCUAACAUUUGCGGUGGGUUUACCCAACGCAUUCGGGUGCACUGAAGGUCCCCGGUUCGAGCCCGGGCGGAAUCA
Hypoxylon sp. NC1633 is the source of this 106-nucleotide non-coding RNA. NCBI's taxonomy places the organism in Eukaryota, Fungi, Ascomycota, Sordariomycetes, Xylariales, Hypoxylaceae. The record is from the annotation of a GenBank genome assembly.